Non-coding RNA from Acanthosepion pharaonis, 88 nucleotides. The record is from the annotation of a GenBank genome assembly. NCBI's taxonomy places the organism in Eukaryota, Metazoa, Mollusca, Cephalopoda, Sepiida, Sepiidae.
AGAUCUCGGCCGAUCACCGAAGUUAAGCCCCGUCGAGCCUGGUCAGUACCUAGAUGGGUGACCGCUAGGGAAUACCAGGUGCUGUAAG